GUCUCCGUAGGUGAACCUGCGGAGGGAUCCAUAGCAAACAUAAAUGCUAAUCCCCCUCUCCUUUAACUCCCUGUUGGGAGGGGUGGGGCACGGCACGGGGCCACCAACCCCAGGCCCUCUGCCCCUACCUUAGACCCAGGCCCGUGCAGUCCCUAGGGCUGAUGCGGUGCCCCCAUCCGUGGUAACCCCUCCUCAAGGCCUCUCCCCGGAGUUGGCUGGAGGGGUUACGGCCAGGGCCUGCGCUGCAGAGCACGUCCGCGUCCGCUCUGUGGCACUCUGCCCUCUAGGCCGGUCGAAUCCGACUGACCUAGGGCAGGGAGGUCCUGGUGACGGCCCUCCGUCUCUCCGGAACGGGGGAGCACCGUCGAACCCAACCAACCUUGCAGUAAGCUAGCAGCAAGCGGCUUCCCAUGCGGAGGUCAGCCUAAUCCCCUAGUAACACUACACAAUGGAUUUCUCGGCUCCCAUAACGAUGAAGAACGCAGCAAAGCGCGAUAGGUAGUGUGAAUUGCAGAAUUCCGCGAAUCAUCGAAUCUUUGAACGCAUAUUGCGCCUGAACCUCCUGGUUUGGGCAUGUCUGCCUCAGCGUCGGUUUAACCACUUGCUCCCUGUCACCAGCAAUGGCGGCAGGCGACGCAGUCCUGGCCCUUGGGUGCUGGUAAAGGCCCACCGGCUUACGAUGGACGGGUUAGCCCCUUCCUGCGCUUGUGCCUGCGUUGCGCAGCGCCACAGGUGCCCGGCUUCAACGGUCUGGUGGCUCUGUGCCUCAACGCCUUGAACCCGUACCCCACCUGCUGCGCCUCGAGGGCAAGAACGAGCGGCGGGGCUUGAGCAGCAGCAGCUGUGCAAGCUAGCUACCCCAGGUGCCUCCCCUGGCCGCUUAGCGGUAGGGUGAGCAGCGCCGGACCCCCAAACCUUCGACCUGAGUUCAGGCAGGGCCACCCGCUGAAC
RNAcentral lists this ribosomal RNA (951 nucleotides) under Arnoldiella sp. HB1207. RNAcentral describes it as "eukaryotic LSU rRNA". The stretch from base 438 to 591 matches the Rfam family "5.8S ribosomal RNA". Lineage: Eukaryota; Viridiplantae; Chlorophyta; Ulvophyceae; Cladophorales; Pithophoraceae. The record is from RNAcentral.